UAAAGGUUAACAAUUUAUUCACAAUUUGACGAUUACAAUUAAUUAAUUGUUGGCGGUGGAAAAAAAUCAAUUUUGGAAUUUAUAACAUGGACAAAAUGGUGGAUGGAAAAAGAAAACAAAAGAGAACAAAGAUUUAGAAUGUUAAUUGUAACUUGGAAGAGAGAAAGAGAGAAACUUGUAAUCAGGUUUGGAAAAUUGAACAAUUGGUCCACCCAGAAAAUUCACCGCAACUAUUAACAUGCUCCAUUCAAUGAGGAUAAUCAAGAUCAAGUUUAUUUUCACCAUCAUAAUCUUCAUCGUUAAUCAGUUAAUUGUGUGAGUGUUUGUGUUCAUUGAUUGUCUAUCAUCGUAAUUACGACAACCUUCAUCACCCAAUUUGGUAACAUUAUCGUAUGGAUGGUGAAAACCAGAAUAGCUAAUCAAUUCAUUUGGAAAAGAUCAACAUUACAUUUACAAUUUUUAAUCAAUGGCAAGAAAAGAGAUCAUCUUAAUUAUUAUUAUUAUUAUAACAAUUUGACCAAUAAUUGAAACGGUCAAUGAAUUUGACCUGGUCAACAAUUGUGAUCACAAUGGAGCAGUUGAAAAUUUGAUUAACUAUUAAUUUUAACGAUCAAAUUCAGUAAUCAAUUCAUUCAAAUUAUGUUUACAAUGGAUUAUCAUCAUCAACUCUAUUAUAACAAUUCAAUUUAGUUAAUCAUGAAGAAUUUGUUACCUGUAAUUUUUGACAAUCUAUUGUUUAAUUGUUUGGUUAAUUGUGAUCAUCAAGGGGACCCAUAAUUUUGGAUUAACAAUUUACAUUGACAAUUCCAAGGAUCAUUGAGGACAAUUAAUUUAGCUGGACAGUCUUGCUAAUUGUUUUAACUUUACCUUGAAAGUGUAACAAGUGAUCCCUUUUUUUGAUUAAUAUCUGCAUUACAAUUAGCUGAUUGUCUUGAAUAUCGUCGCUACGAUUAUUAAUUUUAGUUUAAUCGAUAGUUCAACAAUUAAAUUGAAAGGUUGAUUAAUUUGUGGUUGAUUUAGAUUUUUUUUCUUCUCUAUACUAAAUCAAUUACUCUAAUCACACUAAUUAACUAUCAAUCAAACAAAAAUUGAUUAUAUUAAUCAAUGGGAAUAUGUAUUAGUCCAAUUGAAAAGUUAAUCCAAUUUGAUUGUGACCUUGAUGGUUAAACUAAAUUGUUGUUAACAAUUGAAUCCCCUCUUAAUUCAUGAUUAAUUAUUGUGAUUUUGUAGCUUAAUCUUAAUCAUUUUAGACCAUUUAACCUCAACUAAUUGCUGCUGAUCUUAUCUAAAUCAAGGUUAACCAAUUGAUUGAUUAUGAAAUAAUCAAAACACACAAUCAACUAACCAAGUCAAUUAAUUUUUCAAUCACAACUUUUUUUCCUCCAUCAACAAUCACAAUUUGAAUCAAUUUAAUUUCCCUUUCCUGGAACAAGACUAAUCAACAAUUAAGCCAAAAAAAUCAAUAACAAAUCAGAUUAUCACUAAUUAAUUUACAACAAUUUAAUCAUGUCCAGUUUACCAACAAGAUGAUUAGAAGAAACAAAAAAAUCUCAAACAAUUAACUAAUUUCAUCUGAAAAAAUCUCAUCAUUAUAAUUUUCAAUGUCAACCAUCAAUAGUUAGUUAAAAUUAAAUCAAGAUAAUUACAAGAAACAUUUUAAUUAGACAAAAACAAUUAACUAAUUGUUGACAAUUAUAAUUAAUUUACUUCUUUCGGACAUUCAUCUAGCUAAGGUCACCAACAAUUAGAAAUCAAGUCAACUAUCAGGAAGACUUUUAAUUUCUCGUUCUUUCUUUGAUUGUUACAAUUAUUUUUACAAUUUAAAUGAUUAUUUAAUCAUUAAUCAUCACAAUUAACCUUAAGGCAAGGUCACAAUUAGUAUUUAACAAUUUAUUUAUAUUCUUAUCCUUAGAUUUGUAUAUGAAUCUGAUUCCCCUUUAACUUUGCAUUGAGAAAAUAAAAGUUUACCUGUUAAAUUGUUUGCUAAUUUCAUUACCUUGAUUGUUGAUGAUUAACAAUUACUAUCAACAUGAUGAUGAUGGACUCAUCAUCUAAAUAGGUCAUCCAGAAGUAGAGGAUAAAUACACGAUGAUGAAGGUGAUUUAAUUAAUUGGAAUGAGAAAAAAACUCUCACUUUUCAUAUUCAAUGUUUACAUUUAAAUUCCCAAACAAUUAACUCGAUUAAAGUGUAAUUUCUGGUUUACAAUCAGGAAGUUAACCAAUUGAUUUAGUUGAUAGGGAUUAACAAUUAGUCUAAUUGUAUAAUAAUAACUAAAUAUCUGUGGAUUACUGAGAUGAGCAAUUAAAGUGUAAAAUUAGG
This is a long non-coding RNA of Panonychus citri (citrus red mite), 2320 nucleotides long. RefSeq lists it as uncharacterized. NCBI's taxonomy places the organism in Eukaryota, Metazoa, Arthropoda, Arachnida, Trombidiformes, Tetranychidae. The transcript is spliced from 3 exons. The record is from RefSeq and is a predicted model, not a curated record.